RNAcentral lists this ribosomal RNA (406 nucleotides) under uncultured bacterium. RNAcentral describes it as "partial 16S ribosomal RNA". It matches the Rfam family "Bacterial small subunit ribosomal RNA", at positions 30 to 526 of the family's 1533-position model. The record is from RNAcentral.
AUUGAACGCUGGCGGCAGGCCUAACACAUGCAAGUCGAACGAGUGGCGGACGGGUGAGUAAUGUCUGGGAAACUGCCCGAUGGAGGGGGAUAACUACUGGAAACGGUAGCUAAUACCGCAUACCCUCGGAUGUGCCCAGAUGGGAUUAGCUAGUAGGUGGGGUAACGGCUCACCUAGGCGACGAUCCCUAGCUGGUCUGAGAGGAUGACCAGCAACAGUGGAACUGAGACACGGUCCAGAGUCCUACGGGAGGCAGCAGUGGGGAAUAGUGCAAAAUGGGCGCAAGCCUGAUGGAGCAAUGCCGAGUGUAUGAAGAAGGCCUUAGGGUUGUAAAGUACUUUCAGCGAGGAGGCGUUACUCGCAGAAGAAGCACCGGCUAACUCCGUGCCAGCAGCCGCGGUAAUAC